GGUGACAUAGCUCACUUAUAGAGCACAUGCCUAUCAUGGAUGAGGUCCUGGGUUCAAUCCCCAGUUACACAG
Molecule: transfer RNA, 72 nt
Filed under: Heterocephalus glaber (naked mole-rat)
Lineage: Eukaryota; Metazoa; Chordata; Mammalia; Rodentia; Bathyergidae
Rfam family: tRNA
About the family: Transfer RNA (tRNA) molecules are approximately 80 nucleotides in length.
Source: Rfam by way of RNAcentral